UGUGUGUGUGUGUUAGUGUGUCUGUGUGUGUGUGUGUUAGUGUGUCUGUUUGUGUCUAUGACAGACAUACUGACAUACACACAGACAUACUGACACAUACACACACACAGACAUACACACACACACACACA
Pelobates cultripes (western spadefoot toad) is the source of this 131-nucleotide non-coding RNA. Lineage: Eukaryota; Metazoa; Chordata; Amphibia; Anura; Pelobatidae. The record is from the annotation of a GenBank genome assembly.